Sorghum bicolor (sorghum) is the source of this 757-nucleotide long non-coding RNA. RefSeq lists it as uncharacterized. The record is from RefSeq and is a predicted model, not a curated record. NCBI's taxonomy places the organism in Eukaryota, Viridiplantae, Streptophyta, Magnoliopsida, Poales, Poaceae. The transcript is spliced from 2 exons.
UAGCCAGGCCGUGGACUCGUGGACUUGUUGCUCGCCCACUCUAGACUUUGCCACCGCACGCCCACUGCAUUUGCGAGUCCACCAGGCGCCGGCGAGGGGCGCGUCCAGUGCGCGUCGGCGAGGGGCGGAUCCAGCGGUUACUGGAGAGGGGGGCGUCCAGCGGGCGCCGGUGAGGGCCUGGGCAGCGGAUGCCGACGAGGGAGCAUUCGCGGGCGCCGGCGAGGGUCUAGGCAGCGGGCUCCGACGAGGGAGCAUUCGCGGGCGCUGGCGAGGGCCUGGGCAGCGGGCGCCGUCAUCGUCCUCCUCCCUCCACUCAGACAUGGCAGGCGCUGCGCCGCUGCCUCCCUGCUCCAGAUCUGGAUGGCGCCGCCACCUCAUCCAGAUCCCCUGACGGCCGCACCAGAGAGGGGGCAAGGCGAGCAGAGGAGGAGAGAGAUACAGGAGGAGGGAGAGGGUCCGAGACCGGGGGCACUCGCCUGACUGGGAUUGUAAAAAUGUUGGCGACAUUGUGAAGCCUAGGAUCGGUUGGCCUACAUUGAGCUGAGAGGAAAGGAAGUAGCUAGGAGGUAUAUGUAUAGACAUUUAUUCUAUAAAGCAACCAUUACUUUGUAGUUCUGGAGGAUACUCUAUGCAAUUACUUACAGUUCAACAUUGUUGUGUAUUUUGAUCAUAAGAACUUUCUGUAUAUACUGUGAAGUGUGAACUAUGUGUGUACUGGUGUGAAAUAUAUCAUAUUGUGAAACAUGGGAUUCAAAAA